UUGGCAACUAGUUUGGUCUUGAAUCUUUCAAUUGACCCAUCUGCUUUGUAUUUAACAGUGAACACCCAUUUGACAAAGAAUCAUAAAAGAGAAAGUUAUAAAUAGAGUGGUUUGUGCAAGAUUUAAUUCUUUUUCUUUGAGCAAUUGGUUUAUUUAGAUCAUCAAUGGAUUCAAAGGUUAGAGAUGACUCACUAGAUGGAGAAGAGGAAGAUUCAUAACACUGAGUAGACUGCACAAUGACUUUCUUUGCAUAUGUUUUGUCCCUUCUUGAGUAUCUCCUAAAAUCUGGUUUAUCCAAAUGCUCAAUUAUAUCUCCCUAAUCAAUAGUAGUUGUUACGUAUAAGAGAGAAGAAGAGUUAUUAAUUGGCAAAGAAUUGAUGAGGUGGCAUUAGAAGGCAGGAAAGGAAACAAGUAGUUAGCUGAAGCAUUUAGGUUGCUAUCAAGUAGUUAGUGCAGUUACUAAGUUUGCUAUAUAACUCAGAGAUCAUCUCUUAUAAUUGCAUUCCAAGAAUUAUCAAUAUUAAUCAAUCUUUCUUUCUACUAUCUCUCUCUUUCUCUCUAAUUCUCUCUACUCUGCUACUCUCCUCUUUCUUCUAUUUCUCUCUCCUUUCCUCUUGUUCUGACUCGUUAGGGAUUCAAUCUUUAACAAAUGGUACCAGAGGCAACAAGUUGGAGGCCUAAAUUCCAGGUUCUUUCCAAUAUUAUUUCUCUAUUCUCUUCUUCUCCUCUCUGAAUUUCUUCUUUCUUCUUCCCUGAUAUUUCUUCACCUCUUUUCUUUGUUCCUCUCCUUUGUUUCCCUGGAUUUUCUUUCCUUCUUUUACCUGAAAUUUCUCCAUUUUUCUUUCCCCGCUUGCCUUCUCUUCUUCUCAACAUAUCAUGUUUCUCCUUCUUUCUUUCUUUCCUUUUUCUCUCUUUCUUGAAUCAGAUUUCCUUCUUCCUUUCUUGGUUUCUGGUCAUUCCUUCUGUCCUUUUUUUGAAGUUUUUACUUUGUUCAUUUCAAAAAACCUGUUUCUUGAAGUUCUUGAAAUUUCAAUCUUUGGUUAUUGAAACUAGAUUUUUUUUGCAUGCAAUCUUGAAGUUCUCAUUUCUUUCCCAAUUUUUCUUGGAUACAAAAUACAAUCAGUCCAUGGAACAAGAAGAUUGGGAAAUAAAUAUCUUACAAAGGCUUCUUGAAUGUAUUGAGAGAUUGCAAGAAAAGUUGCACAAGGAAUCAGAUUACGAAAUGAGAAAGUCCAAGAAGCCUGAUGUUGGUGCACAGAAAACUAAUGAAGGAAAUUCUAACAAGCCAAAGGAAGACCAAGGUGCCUCAAGUGAUGGUUCCAAUAAGAAUGACAAGGUCACUAUUGAGAUGGGUCAGGAUUUUCUUUCCCUUGAUGACAAGUUUAGUUUUCAUGGGAGUGAAAUUUUGAUUCAGCAGAAAUUUGGGGAUGAUGCUAAUGGUUCAAAUAAUGAGAACAAUCAGGUUUCAAGAAAGCUCAAGAAGAGGUUAACAUUGUGGGUGAUGAAGAACAUGAAGAGGUUGAUAUUAUUAAUGUUGGAGAGGAGAUUGUCUCAUAUCAAUCAGAUUCAAUUGAAAAUGAAGAACUGGCUGCUGAGGAUCAAGAAGACAUCGAAGAAAAAAAUUCAAAAUAUCUUGAGCAUCUCAAUGUUGUGAAGACAGAUCAACAAUUUUGUCAUGGCCGUCAACAUAUAACUAAGCAGGAUGAGGUUCUUGUUGCUGGAGUUCAAUGAAUAAAGCAGAAUGUUAUUGGAUUACCCUUCCACUUCAUGGAAAAUUACUUUUGUAAAAUGGUAGCCAUGAUGGAUAUUGCAAUUUCUUGGAGUGAUAGGGAUAAAUUGAGCUUAUUAAUUCAAGAGGAUAGUGAUUGUGAGUUCUAUUCUUGUGAGUUCCUAAUUUCCAUGGAGGAUAAAUGGGAGAAAUCAAGAAGGCUAAAGAAGAAAUUAACCUUGAAAGGAGCUGCAUCUGUCAUUCUUAAAGAAGAUACAUUUGAAAGACGGAGAAGGCAGCGAAAGAAAGGUAAGCUAUUGUAAAAGAUAAGAGAAAAAGAGGAAAAAAAGAAGAAAGAAACUGCAGACGAGGGUGAUGACAAGAGACCAUCAACAUGUGUUACACAGUAUUAUUAAAUGGGUCAUGCUGCUAGAACAAGAUGCAACUGGGAGGAUCUGUCUUUCAACUGAGCUCAGUUUUCAUAAUUCUUCUCUUUCACAUUCUUAGAGACAAGAAUAUGCUAAUGGGAGAGGUAUUAUUACGUAUAAGAAAUAAGAAGAGUUAUUAAUUGGCAAGGGAUUGAUGAGGUGGCAUUAGAAGGCAGGAAAGGAAACAAGUAGUUACCUGAAGCAUUUAGGUUGUUAUCAAGUAGUUAGGGCAAUUACUAAGUCUGCUAUAUAACUCAGGAAUCAUCUCUUGUAAUGGCAUUCCAAGAAUUAUCAAUUAAUCAAUCUUUCUUUCUACUAUCUCUCUCUAUCUCUCUAAUUCUCUCUGCUCUGCAAUUCUCCCAUUUCCUCUUUUUCUGACUUGUUAGGGAUUCAAUCCUUAACCGUAUUCUCCUCCUGUAUAGCAGUCUCCCCCUAAGUAAGAGUUUCUAGAGUCACAGAACUACGAAUUAUCUCUUCUCUCUUAUAACAAAAGGUGAUGGAUCGGUACUAAAGUAAGGUUCAGCUUCUCUGAUCAUAAUAUCCAUACUGACAAAAUAUUUUUUAGAUGGAGAUUGAAAAUGAUAAUGAAAAAGAAGAGGGAAGCAGAAGUUUUGAGAGAAAAAUGCUUGAUGAUUCCCCUCAAACCAAUUGGAGUAUAAUACUACUUGUUGAAUCCCACAUCGGUUGUAGAAAGGAGUAAUGUGCCCCUUAUACGGGCCAUAGGCACUCCUCCCCUUUGAGCUAGCUUUUGGGGUGAGUUAGGUCUGGCCAAAUUUAACAUGGUAUCAGAGCCUCUCCAUCCG
Molecule: long non-coding RNA, 2939 nt
Filed under: Manihot esculenta (cassava)
Lineage: Eukaryota; Viridiplantae; Streptophyta; Magnoliopsida; Malpighiales; Euphorbiaceae
Description: long non-coding RNA (MESC_LNC005960)
Source: RNAcentral